CGGCAACACGCUCUUUGUUCCCAAAAAUACUUUAUUUAUAACAAUAUAUCCAUUAUCUAUAACAUGAUCCAAAAAUAACAGAUAUACAUUUUUACUUUACAUUCCUUUGUUUUGUUUUUUUUUUAAUAAAAAGAUUUAUAUUCUCUUCCAUUUACAAAGGGAACACAGAUCUAAUUCCUUUAAAAAAUAGAACAAUCAGGUCAAAGUCGUUUCCCCUCCAGUUUGGACGCGCUGCAGUAAAGCUGAACCCCGCAGGGUCUUUGGGUGUUCUGACAAUCUUUAGUGGAACAUUCCUUGGCAUGUGUCACUCACCCUUCUCCAGAAAAGUGUAUUUCACACUGUACAUUCAAAAUUCAGGAGAAAGAUUUAAAUCCCUUAAGUAAGCAAAAACGAAGGCUACUGGUAUUUCUGUCUUUUUUAUAAAAGAGUUUAAAAACCUCCCCAGUCGCUGAAGCUGGGUGUAAGCGGCCAAGGGAUGCUUGGAGCUGGUGUGUCCCCGAGGGGACGGGUUAUUGCUGGUCUCAGACACGUUACAGACAUUACGUCGCAAAGAGGAGUGUGUUGUACCUCACACACUGCUUUUCCCAGCCCCAUAAUGAAGGGCUGUCCCUCCAGAGAGGAGCAGGGGGAUGGGGAGGCAGUUUCCAGUGUGCGGAAGAAGGGACUGACCACUGGGGAAGAUGACAAGAAUGUGAUUAGAGUAUGCAGGGAUGGAACGAGGAAAGCCAAGGCCUCCUUGGAAUUAAACCUGGCAAGGGAUGUCAAAGUUAACAAGAAGGGUUUCUUCAAGUAUAUUGGAGGCAAAAGGCAAACUAGAGAAAAUGUGGGCCUGCUGUUGAACGAGACGGGUGCCCUGGUGACAGAGGAUGCAGAGAAGGCGGAGUUACCGAAUGCUUCCUUUGCUUCAUUCUUUACUGCUCAGGCCAGCCCUUGGGAGUCCCAGACUUUGGUGGUAACAGAGAAAGUCUGGACGAAGGAAGACUUCCCCUUGGUGGAGGAGGAUCAAGCUAGAGAACAGUUAAGUAAACUGGAUAUCUGCAAGUCCAUGGGUCCUGACGGGAUGGACGCGAGAGUGCCGAGGGAGCUGGCAGAAGUCAUUGCUGGGCCGCUCUCCAUCAUGUUUGAAAGGUCCUGGAGAACAAGGAGCCCGAGGACUGGAGGAAAGCCAAUAUCACUCCAGUCUUCAAAAAGGGUAAAGAGGAAGACCAGGGAAACUACAGGCCAGGUGGCCGAGAAAAUGUGGGCCUGCUGUUGA
This 1255-nucleotide long non-coding RNA is filed under the name Calidris pugnax (ruff). RNAcentral's name for it is "lncRNA (ENSCPUG00000013613.1)". Lineage: Eukaryota; Metazoa; Chordata; Aves; Charadriiformes; Scolopacidae. The record is from RNAcentral.